Molecule: transfer-messenger RNA, 396 nt
Filed under: Tenacibaculum sp. L6
Lineage: Bacteria; Pseudomonadati; Bacteroidota; Flavobacteriia; Flavobacteriales; Flavobacteriaceae
Also listed under: 1 other name
Rfam family: transfer-messenger RNA
About the family: Bacterial tmRNA, also known as 10Sa RNA or SsrA, is named for its dual tRNA and mRNA-like properties. Its role is to liberate the mRNA from a stalled ribosome.
Source: RNAcentral
GGGGACGACUGGUUUUGACAGCAAGACGAGUGAAAAUGUAAGCAUACCGAGGAGUGAAAUGAUAACUCGCUAAACUUAUUUCAAACAUUUAAACGGCGAAGAUAACUACGCUUUAGCUGCUUAAUCUGAAUUUAUAGUAAGAUAAAGCCUCGGCGCACUAGGUGCGCAAGCUGAAUGUCCACGAAAAGCCUUGGUUUACGGCGUUUCAUUUAUGGGCAUCGUAAAAGUAGACAUAGAAAACUUAGUGCUUCGAUGGGUUUUCGAAAUUAAAGAAGCUAAGUUAAAAUUGGGCUGUUUUUGGUCAGGUUUUAAUCGAAAAUUAAUCAAAAACUAAGUAUGUAGAAAGCCUUUGAGCUGCUUGUUUGGACCCGAGUUCGAUUCUCGGCGUCUCCACUA